GUGUCAGCAGCCGCGGUAAUACGUAGGCUGCAAGCGUUAAUCGGAAUUACUGGGCGUAAAGCGUGCGCAGGCGGUUAUGUAAGACAGAUGUGAAAUCCCCGGGCUCAACCUGGGACCUGCAUUUGUGACUGCAUAGCUAGAGUACGGCAGAGGGGGAUGGAAUUCCGCGUGUAGCAGUGAAAUGCGUAGAUAUGCGGAGGAACACCGAUGGCGAAGGCAAUCCUCUGGGCCUGUACUGACGCUCAUGCACGAAAGCGUGGGGAGCAAACAGGAUUAGAUACCCUGGUAGUCCACGCCCUAAACGAUGUCAACUGGUUGUUGGGUCUUCACUGACUCAGUAACGAAGCUAACGCGUGAAGUAUCCCGCCUGGGGACUACGGCCGCAAGGUUGAAACUCAAAUAAAUUGACGG
This 411-nucleotide ribosomal RNA is filed under the name uncultured bacterium. Its description in RNAcentral is "bacterial SSU rRNA". It matches the Rfam family "Bacterial small subunit ribosomal RNA", at positions 505 to 916 of the family's 1533-position model. The record is from RNAcentral.